Molecule: long non-coding RNA, 417 nt
Organism: Rattus rattus (black rat)
Lineage: Eukaryota; Metazoa; Chordata; Mammalia; Rodentia; Muridae
Exons: 3
Source: RefSeq, a predicted model, not a curated record
ACUCACCUCUACCAACUUGGGGUGAGACCAGAAGAGACUUGGAGAGGAACAAUCCUACAACAUCCUGGGCUCAGGAUCACAGUCAGACUCUAGACAAUCUGCCCAAAGUACGUCCACCAAAUCUGUAUGCCUCUUCUUUUCCAGACCUAACUUUAAACACUGAAUACUAACAUUGCAGCUACUGAAGAGUCAGGUUCAUUUCUCAUUUAAAGCUGAAAAGUGGCUUUCCACCCAGUCUUUUCAGAAAAUUCCCCGUGACAGGUGUGGAAAGGAUCGGAGGCCAAAGAAGAACCCUUCUUCACCCGUGUGGCACCUUGCGGUUUCCAAAAGGCACCUUUCUUCCGAGUUCCCGGGAGCUGAGCUUCCCCAGCUCUCCGGGUUCGUUCUGUUCGGUUGUGUUUGCAACCGGAUUUUUUU